UACAGAGACCUCAAGCGUUAUCCGGAAUCAUUGGGCGUAAAGCGUACCGAUAGGUGGUUUCGAUAGUCAGAUGUGAAAUUCCAAGGCUCAACCUUGGGACUGUCAUUUGAAACUUCUAGACUAGAGGGGCAAAGAGGAAGCUGGAACGAACGGUGUAGUAGUGAAAUGCGUUGAUAUCGUUCGGAACACCAAUAGCGAAGGCAGGCUUCUGGGUGCCACCUGACACUGCUAGGACGAAAGCGUGGGGAGCGAAUGGG
RNAcentral lists this ribosomal RNA (257 nucleotides) under uncultured bacterium. RNAcentral's name for it is "partial 16S ribosomal RNA". It matches the Rfam family "Bacterial small subunit ribosomal RNA", at positions 524 to 776 of the family's 1533-position model. The record is from RNAcentral.